RNAcentral lists this ribosomal RNA (449 nucleotides) under uncultured bacterium. RNAcentral describes it as "bacterial SSU rRNA". It matches the Rfam family "Bacterial small subunit ribosomal RNA", at positions 328 to 794 of the family's 1533-position model. The record is from RNAcentral.
GUUCCAGACUCCUACGGGAGGCAGCAGUGGGGAAUAUUGCACAAUGGGGGAAACCCUGAUGCAGCGACGCCGCGUGAGUGAAGAAGUAAUUCGUUAUGUAAAACUCUAUCAGCAGGGAAGAAAAUGACGGUACCUGAGUAAGAAGCCCCGGCUAACUACGUGCCAGCAGCCGCGGUAAUACGUAGGGGGCAAGCGUUAUCCGGAUUUACUGGGUGGAAAGGGAGCGUAGACGGCAGUGCAAGUCUGGAGUGAAAGGCGGGGGCGCAACCCCCGGACUGCUCUGGAAACUGUAGUUCUUGAGUGUUGGAGAGGCAGGCGGAAUUCCGUGUGUAGCGGUGAAAUGCGUAGAUAUACGGAGGAACACCAGUGGCGAAGGCGGCCUGCUGGACAAUAACUGACGCUGAGGCGCGAAAGCGUGGGGAGCAAACAGGAUUAGAUACCCGCGUAAA